GAUGAACGCUGGCGGCGUGCCUAAUACAUGCAAGUCGAGCGAACGGACGAGAAGCUUGCUUUUCUGAUGUUAGCGGCGGACGGGUGAGUAACACGUGGAUAACCUACCUAUAAGACUGGGAUAACUUCGGGAAACCGGAGCUAAUACCGGAUAAUAUUUUGAACCGCAUGGUUCAAAAGUGAAAGACGGUCUUGCGGUCACUUAUAGAUGGAUCCGCGCUGCAUUAGCUAGUUGGUAAGGUAACGGCUUACCAAGGCAACGAUGCAUAGCCGACCUGAGAGGGUGAUCGGCGACACUGGAACUGAGACACGGUCCAGACUCCUACGGGAGGCAGCAGUAGGGAAUCUUCCGCAAUGGGCGAAAGCCUGACGGAGCAACGCCGCGUGAGUGAUGACGGUCUUCGGAUCGUAAAACUCUGUUAUUAGGGAAGAACAUAUGUGUAAGUAACUGUGCACAUCUUGACGGUACCUAAUCAGAAAGCCACGGCUAACUACGUG
RNAcentral lists this ribosomal RNA (497 nucleotides) under uncultured bacterium. RNAcentral describes it as "partial 16S ribosomal RNA". It matches the Rfam family "Bacterial small subunit ribosomal RNA", at positions 28 to 507 of the family's 1533-position model. The record is from RNAcentral.